RNAcentral lists this long non-coding RNA (1328 nucleotides) under Cricetulus griseus (Chinese hamster). RNAcentral describes it as "lncRNA (ENSCGRG00015035936.1)". Lineage: Eukaryota; Metazoa; Chordata; Mammalia; Rodentia; Cricetidae. The record is from RNAcentral.
UCGCGCUCUCUCUCGCGCUCGCUCGCUCGCUCCAGUAUGUAAAUGUGUAAUAGAAGCCAAAUAUGGAGCAGUUGGCUGCCGCCGCCACAGCUCAAGGAUCCGACUUCAUGGGGGGGGGGGGGCACCCUCUGGCAGGCGGCCCGGCGAGCCGCACAGAGCACGGCGAGCGCACGGCGCGGCUGCCGGCCCGCGCCCUUAACCCUUCUGUGCACCCGGCCGGAGCAGCGGUCCCUCCCUCCAGGGGAGGCCCGGUGCCUCUCCCUAACUGCGGCUCCGGAUCCCGGACAUCGGCCCGUGGGGACUGUGCCUUCCAGGAGAAAAACUUCUGUGUAUGUCUGUGAGGGGAGCUCUGGAUUUCGUUCACUGAAGUGAGGAGACUCCCGUGAAUGUGGACAGCGCUGUUUCUGGGCUGGCAUCGUGAACUGAAUACAAAAGGAGAAAGCUUUUUCUCUCCUGGUGCUCAUUCUGGAAGAAAAACAAAAAGCAUCCAUACAAAGGCCCUGAGAGAGGGGAAGAGGAUAGAAGGUGUUGGAGGUGGUGUUGGUGGACCUGGGCAGGCAGAUCAGGACGGAGAACAACGGAACUAUUCUGGUGAUUUGGAAAAAAAAAAAGAAGAAGAAGAAGAAGAAGAGAAAGCAAACAGAAGUGUGGCGGCACCCCAGUAGCAAAGCAAUGAAGAUGGCUGUUUGCAAACCAGGAAGCAAGCAUUUAUCAGCCUCCUGGUCUGUGAGACCUUGGACCCUGAGUUUCCAGAACCUUGAGAAGCAGUGUUUGUUACUUAAGCCACCUGGUCUAUGGUAUUCUGUUACAGCAUCCUUACCUGAUGCUAGGACAGAGUGGAUCAGUGUAACAAGAAAAAUAAAGGACCCAGAAACAGGUAUUGGGGUUCGAGCUUCAAGCUGAAGAUCAGAAAAGCAAAGCAGCUGGGCACUACUAGCUCUUACCUCUACCUCAGACUGAAAGGUGACUCUGGCUCCACCAAACCUCAGACUGCUGCCUCUCCUCAGUGUGGCUGGAGAAUCCUGAGACUUUAGUGUCUUCCUAUCUUCUAUGAUGUGGCUGGAGAAUGACUGCAUGAUAUUGACUACUGAAGACCCUGCUACUAUCUUUUAUAUCCGGCUGAUGCUGGGAUUAAAGGAGUGUGAUCACACAUGCUGAGAUCAUCUUUGUGUGAGCUGUUUCUCUUUAGGACUGGAUCAAUCUUGUGUAGCUCUGAGUGGCCUUGGACACAGAGAGAUUCGUACACUUCUUAAUCCUGAGUCCUAGGAUUAAAGGUGUGCACCACCACAUCCUAGCUUCUGGCUGCUGGGAUUAAAGGUGUAUCACCA